This 378-nucleotide ribosomal RNA is filed under the name uncultured eukaryote. Its description in RNAcentral is "partial 18S ribosomal RNA". It matches the Rfam family "Eukaryotic small subunit ribosomal RNA", at positions 592 to 976 of the family's 1831-position model. The record is from RNAcentral.
CAAUAGCGUAUAUUUAAGUUGUUGCAGUUAAAAAGCUCGUAGUUGGAUUUCGGGUGGGACGCAGCAGUCUCGCAUUGCGUUUGUACUGCUGCAGCCCUCCUUCUUGCCGGGGGCGGCCUCUCGGACUUCACUGUCUGGGGGUCAGAAUCGGCGAUGUUACUUUGAGUAAAUUAGAGUGUUCAAAGCAAGCUUACGCUCUGAAUAUAAUAGCAUGGGAUAACACGACAGGACUCUGGCCUAUCGUGUUGGUCUAUAGGACCAGAGUAAUGAUUAAGAGGGACAGUCGGGGGCAUUCGUAUUCCGUUGUCAGAGGUGAAAUUCUUGGAUUUACGGAAGACGAACAUCUGCGAAAGCAUUUGCCAAGGAUGUUUUCAUUGA